This 468-nucleotide ribosomal RNA is filed under the name uncultured bacterium. Its description in RNAcentral is "partial 16S ribosomal RNA". It matches the Rfam family "Bacterial small subunit ribosomal RNA", at positions 28 to 507 of the family's 1533-position model. The record is from RNAcentral.
GACGAACGCUGGCGGCGUGCUUAACACAUGCCAGUCGAACGAAAAGGCCCUGCUUUUGUGGGGUGCUCGAGUGGCGAACGGGUGAGUAACACGUGAGUAACCUGCCCUUGACUUUGGGAUAACUUCAGGAAACUGGGGCUAAUACCGGAUAGGAGCUCCUGCUGCAUGGUGGGGGUUGGAAAGUUUCGGCGGUUGGGGAUGGACUCGCGGCUUAUCAGCUUGUUGGUGGGGUAGUGGCUUACCAAGGCUUUGACGGGUAGCCGGCCUGAGAGGGUGACCGGCCACAUUGGGACUGAGAUACGGCCCAGACUCCUACGGGAGGCAGCAGUGGGGAAUAUUGCACAAUGGGCGGAAGCCUGAUGCAGCAACGCCGCGUGCGGGAUGACGGCCUUCGGGUUGUAAACCGCUUUCGCCUGUGACGAAGCGUGAGUGACGGUAAUGGGUAAAGAAGCACCGGCUAACUACGUG